This 253-nucleotide ribosomal RNA is filed under the name uncultured bacterium. Its description in RNAcentral is "partial 16S ribosomal RNA". It matches the Rfam family "Bacterial small subunit ribosomal RNA", at positions 524 to 776 of the family's 1533-position model. The record is from RNAcentral.
UACGGGGGGGGCAAGCGUUGUUCGGAAUUACUGGGCGUAAAGGGCUCGUAGGCGGCCAACUAAGUCAGACGUGAAAUCCCUAGGCUCAACCUAGGAACUGCGUCUGAUACUGGAUGGCUUGAAUCCGGGAGAGGGAUGCAGAAUUCCAGGUGUAGCGGUGAAAUGCAUAGAUACCAUCAAGAACACCGAUUGCGAAGGCAGCUUACUAGGCUGUAACUGACGCUGAGGCACGAAAGCGUGGGGAGCGAACAGG